UACAGAGGUCCCAAGCGUUGUUCGGAUUCAUUGGGCGUAAAGGGUGCGUAGGCGGCGCGGUAAGUCGGGUGUGAAAUCUCGGAGCUUAACUCCGAAACUGCAUUCGAUACUGCCGUGCUUGAGGACUGGAGAGGAGACUGGAAUUUACGGUGUAGCGGUGAAAUGCGUAGAUAUCUGGAAGAACACCAAAGGCGAGGGCAGCGUCCUGGGAAGCAUCUGACGCUCAGGUGCGAAAGCUAGGGGAGCGAACGGG
RNAcentral lists this ribosomal RNA (253 nucleotides) under uncultured bacterium. RNAcentral describes it as "partial 16S ribosomal RNA". It matches the Rfam family "Bacterial small subunit ribosomal RNA", at positions 524 to 776 of the family's 1533-position model. The record is from RNAcentral.